RNAcentral lists this ribosomal RNA (429 nucleotides) under Acidobacteriota bacterium. RNAcentral describes it as "Acidobacteria bacterium partial 16S ribosomal RNA". It matches the Rfam family "Bacterial small subunit ribosomal RNA", at positions 355 to 776 of the family's 1533-position model. The record is from RNAcentral. Lineage: Bacteria; Pseudomonadati; Acidobacteriota.
UGGGGAAUUUUGGACAAUGGGGGAAACCCUGAUCCAGCCAUCCCGCGUGUGCGAUGAAGGCCUUCGGGUUGUAAAGCACUUUUGGCAGGAAAGAAACGUCAUGGGUUAAUACCCCGUGAAACUGACGGUACCUGCAGAAUAAGCACCGGCUAACUACGUGCCAGCAGCCGCGGUAAUACGUAGGGUGCAAGCGUUAAUCGGAAUUACUGGGCGUAAAGCGUGCGCAGGCGGUUCGGAAAGAAAGAUGUGAAAUCCCAGAGCUCAACUUUGGAACUGCAUUUUUAAUUACCGGGCUAGAGUGUGACAGAGGGAGGUGGAAUUCCGCGUGUAGCAGUGAAAUGCGUAGAUAUGCGGAGGAACACCGAUGGCGAAGGCAGCCUCCUGGGAUAACACUGACGCUCAUGCACGAAAGCGUGGGGAGCAAACAGG